GGGAAGGAAGAUGAGAGGGGGCGGCGGGGACAACAAUGCAGCCAGGUGCAGCGGCCCGCGCGCGGGGAGGGAGGCCAGGUGCGCGCCCGGAUGCCCGGCGGCGUCGGGGGAGGGGACGGGGACUCCGGCGCCGCGGCCGCCAGCGCGUGCAGCCGGGCUCCCCGCCGUCCAGCACCGCACAGCCGCGGCGGGCCCGGCGCGGUGCACAUCCGGGUCCUGGCGCGGCGCCCCCCGGGCCGGCCCUGGGCGGGGGAACCAGGACUCCCCACCCCCCAGCUUCCCGCGGCUCUCUCUGCCCCGCCCCUGCGGACGACCCUCUGCGGGUCCCGCCUCCCCACGCACAGUAACCUUUGGAAUCUGCACGAACUGGAACCUCCCCUGCUCUAGAGCCCUCCUCGGCUCCCCAGCGCCCGCGAGCAGCGGAGCUCCAACCUGCCUGCGUCCGGAGCAAGAGGACAAAAACGUGUGUUCCAGGCGCGCCCGGCUGGCUCCGUCGGGAGCGCGAGCGCCUCUGGACGGCGGGGUCGUGAGUUCCAGCCCCACGUUCGGGGGCGAAUUGACUUGAGAGAGAAUAAUAUUUUAAAAUGUUUUUAAAAAUGUAUGUUCCAGGGCUCGUACCCUGGGUUCAUGGUUCUCAGGGCAGGAAUUAAGAGAAAUUGAAGGAAACACUCCAAAUCACUCAGUUACAAAAUUUCCAGCCAACCAAUACAGGAACUAGAAAGUCUACGUUUAACACGAAUAUCAAAUCUGUAUUAUGCACCUGAAACUAACCUAUAUGUCAAUUAUAGCUCAAUUUUUGAAAAAGGAACAAAAGGGAAAACCUACAUUUUGGUGGAAUUAGAAAGCUGCCAUUUUGUAACUGCUGAAGAAAUUACUGAUUCCAGCAAAGAGGAUUCUUGGUCAAAGCCGUCAAUGGAAGGAUGACUUGACCCUGGAGGGGUCCAGUUACCAUCACCUGGACAUUCGUCUCCGUCUUAGAAUCACACUGCCUGGGACACGUGGCAUUCUGAGACUUCUGGUGUAAUGCAAUAGGAAGAAAAUAGCACCACCUAGGAAGCAUUUUUUUGCCCCAAAAGUUGAACCUGAACUUAACCAAGACUCCAGCCCUAACUGCCAUUUUAUCAAGGUUAGACCAGAUGGCUAACGGAUGUGGACACCCCAAGGAAGCACAUUAACACAUUGAAGAAUGUGCAACACUUUUUUGGCACCACCGACCCGGUUUCUUCAAUGGGGUCAUGUUUAGAAAAGCGAGCUGGGGAGGGAGAACAGUUCUAUGGAAGAGAGACUCAAGAGACAUAGCAACUGGGAAAAAAAAGAGAGAGAGAGAGAGAGACAUAGCAACUGAAUAUAACCAUAGACUUUGUUUUGGGGUCCUGUUUGUUAUGGGUUGAAUUGUGUCUCCCCAAAAGAUGUAGGAGUCCUGACCCCCAGCACCUGCACAAGGAGUUUGUUUGGAAAUAAUGUCUUUGUGGGCGCCUGGGUGGCUCAGUCGGUUAAGGGACCACCUUUGGCUCAGGUCAUCAUCUUGGAAUCCCAGGAUGGAGUCCCACAUCGGGCUCCCCGCUUGGUGGGGACUCUGCUGCUGCCUCUCUCUCCAGAACAAAUAAAUAAAAUCUUAAAAAAAAAAAAAAAAAAAAGGAAACAGUGUCUUUGCAAAUGAUCAAGAGAAGAUCAAGUCAUUACCAUGGGCUCAAAUCCAGUAUGACUAGUGUCCUUGUAGAAAUGGGAGAUUUGGACAUGUACAGAAGGAAGACAAUGUGAGGACACAAGGAGAAGCCCCUCUUCUAGACAAGGAACACCUGAGGCUACCAGAACUGAGGAAGAGGCAUGGGAUAGAUCCCUUCUUAUGGCCUCAGAAGAUCCAGUGCCACCGAUACCUUGAUCUUGGACUUCUGGCCUCCAGAGCUGGGAGACAACAAGCUCCUGGCAGUUAAGACACCCAGUUUGUGAUCUGUUGUUACAGCAAUCCUAGGAAAUUGAUACAUUGUUCAAAGGAAGGAGAAAAAUACUAAAAUGACAUAUUUUAAUUUAUUCAUUUGAGAGAGAGAAAAAGCACAAGUGGGGGGGACAAGCAGAGGGAAAGAAGCAGACUCCCUACUGAGCAGGAAGCCUGAUGUGGGGCUCAAUCCCAGGACCCCAGGACCCGGAGAUCAUGACCUGAGCUAAAGGCAGAUGCUCAACCACCUGAGCCACCCAGGUGCCCCUAAAAUGACAUUUUUGGAAAAUUCCAUAAAUUUUUAAUAUAUUGCGUAUAGGUCUUAUUACAAGCUUGUAAAAUCUUGAUUGUUGUUGUAUAAUUGCAACUGGUACGUGAUGGUUCUUUA
Molecule: long non-coding RNA, 2324 nt
Organism: Mustela lutreola (European mink)
Lineage: Eukaryota; Metazoa; Chordata; Mammalia; Carnivora; Mustelidae
Exons: 2
Source: RefSeq, a predicted model, not a curated record